Long non-coding RNA from Oreochromis niloticus (Nile tilapia), 3266 nucleotides. RefSeq lists it as uncharacterized. NCBI's taxonomy places the organism in Eukaryota, Metazoa, Chordata, Actinopteri, Cichliformes, Cichlidae. The transcript is spliced from 3 exons. The record is from RefSeq and is a predicted model, not a curated record.
GCCGGAUUGGUAUUCUGCCCAGGUGCGGUUGAAGCUCACGCUGCCGUCCUGGCGGCGCUGCAGGACGGUCCACCCUCCACCCUCCUGCUCCAUCUCGCAGUACACCGAGAAGCUACUAGUGCGGAGGUCAGGGGUCACCAGGUGAUAUUAUCAUCUCGCAGCUGGGAUUUAUUCGUGAAAUGAGCUGGCUGAGGUCACGAGUGCAUCAGAGACUAGAACAAACAUCUGACCAUCAGUCCGGGCUCUGCUGCCUGGGCGUCCUGGCAGACCACUUCAUCUCCAUCCACUUCGGGCAGAGGAACCAGUGCCGUCGUUUGCGUCUGUUAUGUGCAUAAGUGUCCCAUUUCCAGCUGCACUGGAGUGAACCCAACAACUGUCGUAGUGCAGCGCCAGCCUCCUGUAACACCACACUCAGUCUGCCUGCCUGAAGGUAUAACCCUACCUGCGUUAUUCCACUGCCUCCCGGCUCGCAUGCCAAGAAUAAAUAAAUAUUCAGCUCUGAGAUGCAAUACCUGGCCUAAUCAUGUGAAUGGGCCCAAAUGUAAAGUCCCCGUCAUCCCUCUCUGUUAUGAAAAUGUGCCUACAGUCAUAUUCACAUGAUUUGGCUGUGUCCGGAUCUUUAAUUCUGCAGUAACGGAUGCAUUCCUUUGCCAUGUGUGAGAAUGUUUUUCAUCGAACACUAAUAAUGACUCCUAAAAGUGAAACAAUCAAAUGUCCCUCACAUCUGGGCUGAAUUUCCUACAGCUAGCCAACACCAGAUAACGUCAGGUCAAUUAGUUUUUUAAUCCAAAAUCCUGGAAUUCGUUAAGACAUUGUUUAAAACUUAUAUUUUAUAAUCCUCAUCCUGAUAAGGGAUAUGGAAAGCGGGCUUAACAUGGGAACAGCUUAUCUGCUGUUGUCACUGCCUGCCCACCAGGAGCGGACAUUUCUGAGACCCUGGCAUGCACAAAGAAUAAAGAGGUAUUUUUCCAUCGCAGGAGAGGUGCUUUUUCUUUUAAAAACGUGUGAAGCGUGUUUUGUAGUAAAGGUUCUACAGAGACGUAGCCGUUCGGUUUUCCAUCAUAACCUGAUGUUCAUACUGAAUAGAUUUGUGCUGCAUACUGUAAAUGUCCCAGCUGCGCUUAAUAGAAACCAUGCAUCAUACACAGACAAUAGCCUAGAGAUAAACUUACAGAAAGGUGUGCCUCAACGCACCGCAGAAACCCCUUAUUUACUAAACCUUCUUCUUCUCAGCACCACUUCCACAGUCAUAUUUUUAGAGACCGCUAAACAUUAUGACAUUAGUCAGGUGUUACCAUAAAAUACUUCACUGCACGUAAAAGGCAAAGUAUGGCUGCCUGACAAUGUUAAAACAAUAAAACUGUUUAUUAUUCCAGCGUGCCACGAGUAAGAGUGCAGAAAACCAAACUGUGAGAGCUGGUUGUUAUUUUCAGAAUUUGAUCUACUCCAAGUUUAAUGUUUAAAACAAUAAUAAAGUCAAUGAAGAUGCCAAUUGUGGGGAAAUAAAAAGUUAAGCCAUUUCCCUCCCAGUUACAAAAUGAUACCUCAAAUCUGUCCCUGAGUAUAGCAGUCAGGUAGCUGGACUUUCUGCCUCUGCUGAAGAUGUAAAGAGUUAUCAUCUUUCCACUGCCUUGUGUGAUAGGAACCAGAAAUAAGCUCUAUGUACUGCAAACUUUCUUCUCUUCUCUGUGAAAACUGUUUAAAGAGCCAGUGUGCAAUCUAAUGAGCUAUUUUGGCCAAAAGAAAUAAACAAAUCUCAUUUUUGAGUAAGCGCUUGUGAACACUGUGUACACUACCUUUCCGAUCUUUCUGCACAGAUUAGGACUUUUUCUUUCAAGGCAGUAGAUGGGAACCAGAGGAGCUCAGAAAGAGAUGUGGAUGAGUGAGACAGCUAUGGGACUGGAAUGUUUCAGUGCCAUAACAGAGAGAUAUCUUUCAUCUAAUAUUAGUAUGUGACGAAAGACAGCGUUUUAAUUUUAAUUGCCCAACGUUGACAUUAAAUGAAUAAUAGUUUUAAGAUAUUGCAUUUAAUUAAACUAGCGACUAACUUGUUGUUGUUCAAUAGUGAUGAAAACAUGUGCAGCUGACCACUCCCAACAUGAGUAAGGUUUGAUGGCACAGUGGUGAGGGUCAGUGAGCAGGGUGAUUUCCACAGGAAAACAAACACACACAAAGAGCCCUUCAAUCCAUUUCCACUACUUCACUGCCACCUGCUGGCACAACCUAGAAGUGUCUUAUAAAUUAAAAAACGUAUUUUCAUCAUACUCAAAAUGUCACAUUAUCAUCUCCAAAUGUUGACAUAAAAGCCUUAAGUUUCAAGUUAUUUUCUCAAUGCCUUAAGAUUUUGAGAUAAUAACGUUAAAUUUUGACUUACUGCUAGUUUGUGAUUUUUUUUUUUCAGUAGUGAAAACAAGUUUACAUACAACCCAGUGCAAUGAUAGCUCUAAAACCUUUUUAAUAACCCUCAACAAGGGCGAAAUCUUGUGGGAGAAAAACACACGCCCUUAUAAAGGAGCAUAACAAACACCUUUAAUACUACAUCGUUUAAAUAAUGGCAAACAAUAUUUUUUCCACCAUGUCCUGAAAUUCGUUUUUUCUCAGAAACUGGAUUUUUUAAAAAUCAGUUUCACUGCUUUGUUUUGGUCUCACGCUGACAUGUAGUUCUCUUCUUUCUUUAUUUUUUUAAUCUUUACCUUCACACGUUGCUGCUACGUUUCAACCAUUAAUCCAUUUUCUUGGUUUUUGUCCUUUAUUACCAUCUGACCCGAAUGAGAACAUGAAUGUUAAAUAUAGAGUGUGGUUAAUCAAGCACAUUUUAGUUUUUUUAAUCGUUUUAGGAAUUAUGUAUGACUCGUAUUUUAAAUUAACAGUAAAAGAAAAAAAUCCUGCAGCCCUCGCCACCCUUAGGAUAAGCGGAAGCGAAUGGAUGGAAGAGAAUGGACGGAUAACUGUAGUAAUCAAGUGUACCACUAGGGGGGGCUAGCUUAAUUGAAGAAACGCUGCGUUGAAGAAUGAUAAUAAAACUUUUAAAAAAGGUGUCCAAUUCUUUAGAAAAACUGCAAUUAAAAAAAAAAGACAGAACAUACGUGAAUCCUUCACAGAUGUUUUUUUAUUACAACCCCAUAGAAAAAUGCAUUUAUGGGGAUUUUGAAUUUUCUGUCAUCACAAAAAACAUUUUAAAACCACAAGAACAUACCAGAUGUUUUUGGUAGAGAUAAAAAAAAAUGCAAAAUUAUGAUUCUGAUUAAAAACAUUGUUUUUGUUGA